Molecule: ribosomal RNA, 302 nt
Filed under: uncultured Micromonas
Lineage: Eukaryota; Viridiplantae; Chlorophyta; Mamiellophyceae; Mamiellales
Description: partial Bacterial small subunit ribosomal RNA
Rfam family: Bacterial small subunit ribosomal RNA
Source: RNAcentral
GCCGCGUGAGGGUUGACGGCCUUCGGGUUGUAAACCUCUUUUAGUAGGGAAGAAGCGAAAGUGACGGUACCUGCAGAAAAAGCACCGGCUAACUACGUGCCAGCAGCCGCGGUAAUACGUAGGGUGCAAGCGUUGUCCGGAAUUAUUGGGCGUAAAGAGCUCGUAGGCGGUUUGUCGCGUCUGCUGUGAAAUCCCGAGGCUCAACCUCGGGCUUGCAGUGGGUACGGGCAGACUAGAGUGCGGUAGGGGAGAUUGGAAUUCCUGGUGUAGCGGUGGAAUGCGCAGAUAUCAGGAGGAACACC